AAAUCUUACAUAGUAUCUAUUCAUGGUAUCCACACAAACACAAUGUGCCAACGGGCAAUACCUUUAUCCCAAUGAAUGAUCCUUGCCAGUUCGAAGCAGACUUGACUCAACCUUAUCUUGAUGUGGAAGAAUGCCUUUUAGCACUGACUGAUUUACCUCAAACCAGUUCGAAGCAGACUUGACUCAACCUUAUCUUGAUGUGGAAGAAUGCCUUUUAGCACUGAUUGAUUUACCUCAGACUGCUUGAGAGACAUUUUCUUAUUGUAUGCUUUUAUUAACAUCUUCAUUUUCCAAAAUAAC
RNAcentral lists this long non-coding RNA (300 nucleotides) under Nicotiana benthamiana. RNAcentral's name for it is "long non-coding RNA (NBEN_LNC009392)". Lineage: Eukaryota; Viridiplantae; Streptophyta; Magnoliopsida; Solanales; Solanaceae. The record is from RNAcentral.